UACGGGGGGGGCAAGCGUUGUUCGGAAUUACUGGGCGUAAAGGGCGCGUAGGCGGGUGGACAAGUCUCUCGUGAAAGCCCACGGCUCAACCGUGGAAUUGCGGGAGAUACUGUCUGUCUUGAGUCCGGGAGAGGAGGGUGGAAUUCCCAGUGUAGCGGUGAAAUGCGUAGAUAUUGGGAGGAACACCGGUGGGGAAGGCGGCUCUCUGGCCCGGUACUGACGCUGAGGCGCGAAAGCUAGGGGAGCAAACGCG
RNAcentral lists this ribosomal RNA (253 nucleotides) under uncultured bacterium. RNAcentral's name for it is "partial 16S ribosomal RNA". It matches the Rfam family "Bacterial small subunit ribosomal RNA", at positions 524 to 776 of the family's 1533-position model. The record is from RNAcentral.